CCUACGGGUGGCAGCAGUGGGGAAUAUUGCACAAUGGGGGAAACCCUGAUGCAGCAACGCCGCGUGAGUGAAGACGUACCUCGGUAUGGUAAGCUCUAUUAGUAGGGAAGAAAAUGACAGUACCUGUCUAAGAAGCCCCGGCUAACUACGUGCCAGCAGCCGCGGUAAUACGUAGGGGGCAAGCGUUAUCCGGAUUUACUGGGUGUAAAGGGAGCGUAGACGGGUGCGCAAGUCAGAAGGGAAAGCCCGGGGCUCAACCGGGGGACUGCUUUUGAAACUGUCUAGCUAGAGUGCAGGAGAGGUAAGUGGAUUUCGUGGUGUAGCGGUGAAAUGCGUAGAUAUUAGGAAGAACCCCGAUGGCGAAGGCAGCUUACUGGACUGUAACUGACGUUGAGGCUCGAAAGCGUGGGGAGCAAACAGGAUUAGAUACCCCGGUAGUC
RNAcentral lists this ribosomal RNA (440 nucleotides) under uncultured bacterium. RNAcentral's name for it is "partial 16S ribosomal RNA". It matches the Rfam family "Bacterial small subunit ribosomal RNA", at positions 338 to 795 of the family's 1533-position model. The record is from RNAcentral.